GACGAACGCUGGCGGCGUGCUUAACACAUGCAAGUCGAACGGAAAGGCCCUGCUUGCCGGGUACUCGAGUGGCGAACGGGUGAGUAACACGUGGGUGAUCUGCCCUGCACUUCGGGAUAAGCCUGGGAAACUGGGUCUAAUACCGGAUAGGAGCCAUUUUUAGUGUGAUGGUUGGAAAGUUUUUUCGGUGUAGGAUGAGCUCGCGGCCUAUCAGCUUGUUGGUGGGGUAAUGGCCUACCAAGGCGGCGACGGGUAGCCGGCCUGAGAGGGUGGACGGCCACAGUGGGACUGGGAUACGGCCCAGACUCCUACGGGAGGCAGGAAUGGGGAAUAUUGCACAAAGGGCGCGAGCCUGAUGCAGCGACGCCGCGUGGGGGAUGACGGCCUUCGGGUUGUAAACUCGUUUCGCUAGGGACGAAGCUUUUUGUGACGGUACCUAGAUAAGAAGCACCGGCUAACUACGUG
This 465-nucleotide ribosomal RNA is filed under the name uncultured bacterium. RNAcentral's name for it is "partial 16S ribosomal RNA". It matches the Rfam family "Bacterial small subunit ribosomal RNA", at positions 28 to 507 of the family's 1533-position model. The record is from RNAcentral.